RNAcentral lists this ribosomal RNA (256 nucleotides) under uncultured bacterium. RNAcentral's name for it is "partial 16S ribosomal RNA". It matches the Rfam family "Bacterial small subunit ribosomal RNA", at positions 524 to 776 of the family's 1533-position model. The record is from RNAcentral.
UACGUAGGGUGCAAGCGUUGUCCGGAAUUAUUGGGCGUAAAGAGCUCGUAGGCGGUCUGUUGCGUCGGCUGUGAAAACCCGAGGCUCAACCUCGGGCCUGCAGCCGAUACGGGCAGACUAGAGUUCGGCAGGGGAGACUGGAAUUCCUGGUGUAGCGGUGAAAUGCGCAGAUAUCAGGAGGAACACCGGUGGCGAAGGCGGUUCUCUGGGCCUGUAACUGACGCUGGAGGAACGGAAAGCGUGGGGAGCAAACAGG